CCGACCAUAGCUCAGUUGGAAGAGCACAAGACUGUAAUGGAAGCUCUCAUCUUGGGGUCGCCUGUUCGAACCAGGCUGGUCGGA
This is a transfer RNA of 84 nucleotides. It matches the Rfam family "tRNA". From Rfam's summary of the family: Transfer RNA (tRNA) molecules are approximately 80 nucleotides in length. Their secondary structure includes four short double-helical elements and three loops (D, anti-codon, and T loops). The record is from Rfam.